This 498-nucleotide ribosomal RNA is filed under the name uncultured bacterium. Its description in RNAcentral is "partial 16S ribosomal RNA". It matches the Rfam family "Bacterial small subunit ribosomal RNA", at positions 27 to 507 of the family's 1533-position model. The record is from RNAcentral.
GGAUGAACGCUGGCGGCGUGCCUAAUACAUGCAAGUCGAGCGAAUAGACGAGGAGCUUGCUCCUCUGACGUUAGCGGCGGACGGGUGAGUAACACGUGGAUAACCUACCUAUAAGACUGGGAUAACUUCGGGAAACCGGAGCUAAUACCGGAUAAUAUAUUGAACCGCAUGGUUCAAUAGUGAAAGACGGUUUUGCUGUCACUUAUAGAUGGAUCCGCGCCGCAUUAGCUAGUUGGUAAGGUAACGGCUUACCAAGGCAACGAUGCGUAGCCGACCUGAGAGGGUGAUCGGCCACACUGGAACUGAGACACGGUCCAGACUCCUACGGGAGGCAGCAGUAGGGAAUCUUCCGCAAUGGGCGAAAGCUUGACGGAGCAACGCCGCGUGAGUGAUGAAGGUCUUCGGAUCGUAAAACUCUGUUAUUAGGGAAGAACAAAUGUGUAAGUAACUAUGCACGUCUUGACGGUACCUAAUCAGAAAGCCACGGCUAACUACGUG